GACCAUCUAGCGACCUCCACCGCAAGGCUAAAUACUAGUUAGUGACCGAUAGUGAACCAGUACCGUGAGGGAAAGGUGAAAAGAACCCCGGAAGGGGAGUGAAAAAGAACCUGAAACCGUGUGUCUACAAGUAGUCAAAGCACAUUAAAGUGCAAUGGCGUGCCUUUUGUAGAAUGAACCGGCGAGUUACGUUAUCUAGCGAGGUUAAGUCAGAAAAGACGGAGCCGGAGCGAAAGCGAGUCUUAAUAGGGCGAAAAGUUAGGUGACGUAGACCCGAAACCAAGUGACCUACCCAUGACCAGGCUGAAGGUGUGGUAAAACGCACUGGAGGGCCGAACCCACGUAAGUUAAAAAUUGCGGGGAUGAGUUGUGGGUAGCGGUGAAAUUCCAAACGAACUUGGAGAUAGCUGGUUCUCUCCGAAAUAGCUUUAGGGCUAGCCUCGUGGAGAGGAUAAUGGAGGUAGAGCUCUGUUUGGACUAGGGGCCCGUCAGGGGUUACUGAAUCCAGAUAAACUACGAAUUCCAGAUAUCCAUACACGGGAGUCAGACUGCGAGUGAUAAGAUCCGUAGUCGAAAGGGAAACAGCCCAGAUCACCAGUUAAGGUCCCCAAAUCUAUGCUAAGUGGANAAGGAUGUGGAGNUGCGCUAGANNNUCUAGGACGUUGGCUCAGAAGCAGCCAUCAUUCAAAGAGUGCGUAAUAGCUCACUAGUCGAGUGGCGCUGCGCCGAAAAUUUACCGGGGCUAAGCAUAGUACCGAAACUGUGGAUGUGUUUUAAAGAGCACGUGGUAGGAGAGCGUUCUAAGAGCGGAGAAGUUGAAUCGAGAGGAUCAAUGGAGCGCUUAGAAGUGAGAAUGCCGGUAUGAGUAGCGAAAGAUAGGUGAGAAUCCUAUCCGCCGAAAGACUAAGGUUUCCUGGGGCAGGCUCGUCCGCCCAGGGUAAGUCGGGACCUAAGGCAAGGCCGAAAGGCGUAGUCGAUGGACAACAGGUAGAAAUUCCUGUACUACAAGAUUGUGAUUGAGAGAAGUACUGACGCAGAAGGAAAAGUCGAGCGUGUGAAUGGUAGAGCACGUCCAAGUAACAAGCUAGAAUAUACAGGCAAAUCCGUAUAUUCGUCAACGUAAGUUAUCAUGGGGAGCAGAAAGAUGCGAAGCGACAGAUUCAAACUGCCAAGAAAAGGUGCUAUCGAAUAAUCUUGUACCCGUACCGCAAACCGACACAGGUAGGCAAGAAGAGAAUUCUAAGACGCGCGGAAGAACCUUUGUUAAGGAACUCGGCAAAAUGNCCCCGUAACUUCGGGAGAAGGGGAGCCAGAGCGAUCUGGCCACAGAAACCAGGCCCAAGCGACUGUUUACCAAAAACACAAGUUUCUGCAAAAUCGUAAGAUGAAGUAUAGGAGCUGACACCUGCCCGGUGCUGGAAGGUUAAGGGGAAGGCUUAGCAAACGCGAAGGCUAGAACUUAAGCCCCAGUAAACGGCGGCCGUAACNAUAACGGUCCUAAGGUAGCGAAAUUCCUUGUCGGGUAAGUUCCGACCCGCACGAAAGGUGUAACGAUCUGGGCACUG
This 1565-nucleotide ribosomal RNA is filed under the name insect metagenome. RNAcentral's name for it is "bacterial LSU rRNA". It matches the Rfam family "Bacterial large subunit ribosomal RNA", at positions 437 to 2018 of the family's 2925-position model. The record is from RNAcentral.